UAGGGAAUCUUCCGCAAUGGGCGAAAGCCUGACGGAGCAACGCCGCGUGAGUGAUGAAGGUCUUCGGAUCGUAAAACUCUGUUAUUAGGGAAGAACAAAUGUGUAAGUAACUAUGCACGUCUUGACGGUACCUAAUCAGAAAGCCACGGCUAACUACGUGCCAGCAGCCGCGGUAAUACGUAGGUGGCAAGCGUUAUCCGGAAUUAUUGGGCGUAAAGCGCGCGUAGGCGGUUUUUUAAGUCUGAUGUGAAAGCCCACGGCUCAACCGUGGAGGGUCAUUGGAAACUGGAAAACUUGAGUGCAGAAGAGGAAAGUGGAAUUCCAUGUGUAGCGGUGAAAUGCGUAGAGAUAUGGAGGAACACCAGUGGCGAAGGCGACUUUCUGGUCUGUAACUGACGCUGAUGUGCGAAAGCGUGGGGAUCAAACAGGAUUAGAUACCCUGGUAGUCCACGCCGUAAACGAUGAGUGCUAAGUGUUAGGGGGUUUCCGCCCCUUAGUGCUGCAGCUAACGCAUUAAGCACUCCGCCUGGGGAGUACGACCGCAAGGUUG
Molecule: ribosomal RNA, 550 nt
Filed under: uncultured bacterium
Lineage: Bacteria
Description: bacterial SSU rRNA
Rfam family: Bacterial small subunit ribosomal RNA
Source: RNAcentral